UGGGGAAUUUUGGACAAUGGGCGAAAGCCUGAUCCAGCAAUGCCGCGUGUGUGAAGAAGGCCUUCGGGUUGUAAAGCACUUUUGUCCGGAAAGAAAUCCUUGGCUCUAAUACAGUCGGGGGAUGACGGUACCGGAAGAAUAAGCACCGGCUAACUACGUGCCAGCAGCCGCGGUAAUACGUAGGGUGCAAGCGUUAAUCGGAAUUACUGGGCGUAAAGCGUGCGCAGGCGGUUUGCUAAGACCGAUGUGAAAUCCCCGGGCUCAACCUGGGAACUGCAUUGGUGACUGGCAGGCUAGAGUAUGGCAGAGGGGGGUAGAAUUCCACGUGUAACAGUGAAAUGCGUAGAGAUGUGGAGGAAUACCGAUGGCGAAGGCAGCCCCCUGGGCCAAUACUGACGCUCAUGCACGAAAGCGUGGGGAGCAAACAGGAUUAGAUACCCUGGUAGUCCACGCCCUAAACGAUGUCAACUAGUUGUUGGGGAUUCAUUUCCUUAGUAACGUAGCUAACGCGUGAAGUUGACCGCCUGGGGAGUACGGUCGCAAGAUUAAAACUCAAAUGAAUUGACGGGGUCAUAGCUGUUUCCU
RNAcentral lists this ribosomal RNA (585 nucleotides) under uncultured bacterium. RNAcentral describes it as "partial 16S ribosomal RNA". It matches the Rfam family "Bacterial small subunit ribosomal RNA", at positions 355 to 1375 of the family's 1533-position model. The record is from RNAcentral.